GCCCGGUUAGCUCAGUCGGUAGAGCAUCUGACUUUUAAUCAGAGGGUCGCGGGUUCAAGUCCCUCAUCGGGCA
This 73-nucleotide transfer RNA is filed under the name Strongylocentrotus purpuratus (purple sea urchin). RNAcentral describes it as "tRNA-Lys (TTT) (tRNA-Lys-TTT-8-1)". It matches the Rfam family "tRNA". Rfam says of the family: Transfer RNA (tRNA) molecules are approximately 80 nucleotides in length. Their secondary structure includes four short double-helical elements and three loops (D, anti-codon, and T loops). Further hydrogen bonds mediate the characteristic L-shaped molecular structure. tRNAs have two regions of fundamental functional importance: the anti-codon, which is responsible for specific mRNA codon recognition, and the 3' end, to which the tRNAs corresponding amino acid is attached (by aminoacyl-tRNA synthetases). tRNAs cope with the degeneracy of the genetic code in two manners: having more than one tRNA (with a specific anti-codon) for a particular amino acid; and 'wobble' base-pairing, i.e. permitting non-standard base-pairing at the 3rd anti-codon position. The record is from Rfam by way of RNAcentral. Lineage: Eukaryota; Metazoa; Echinodermata; Echinoidea; Camarodonta; Strongylocentrotidae.